Molecule: ribosomal RNA, 484 nt
Filed under: uncultured bacterium
Lineage: Bacteria
Description: partial 16S ribosomal RNA
Rfam family: Bacterial small subunit ribosomal RNA
Source: RNAcentral
AUUGAACGCUGGCGGCAGGCCUAACACAUGCAAGUCGAGCGGAUGAAGGGAGCUUGCUCCUGGAUUCAGCGGCGGACGGGUGAGUAAUGCCUAUGAAUCUGCCUGGUAGUGGGGGAUAACGACUGGAGACGGGCGCUAAUACCGCAUACGUCCUGCGGGAGAAAGUGGGGGAUCUUCGGACCUCACGCUAUCUGAUGAGCCUAGGUCGGAUUAGCUAGCUGGUGGGGUAAAGGCCUACCAAGGCGACGAUCCGUAACUGGUCUGAGAGGAUGAUCAGUCCCAUGAGAACUGAGACACGGUCCUGAGUCCUGCGGGAGGCAGCAGAGGAGUAUAUUGGACAAUGGGCGAAAACCUGAUCCAGUCAUGGCACGUGUGUGAAGAAGACCUUCGGAGUGUAAUGCACUUUAUGUUGGGAUGAAGGGCAGUAAGUUAAUACCUUGCUUUUUUGACGUUACCAAAUGAAUAAGCACCGGCUAACUACGUG